GCCAUGGUGGCACAUACCUCUAAUCCCGGCUCCUAGGGAGGCUGAGGCUGGUGGAUCUGGAGCUUGGGAAUUCUGAGGUGCAGUGGGCUAGGCCGAUCACAUGUGGGCACUAAGUUAGGCAUCAAAAAUGGAGAACCCCUAGGAGCAAGGGCUCCCAGCUUGCCUGAGAAGGGGGACAGAAUGGAAAUGGAGCAGAGUGAAGCUCCCAUGCCAGUCAGUAGUGGAGUCAGGCCCAUGAGUAGCUUCUGCACAUCCAGCCUGCAUAAACGAAAGACCCAGUCUUUA
Monodelphis domestica (gray short-tailed opossum) is the source of this 285-nucleotide unclassified non-coding RNA. It matches the Rfam family "Metazoan signal recognition particle RNA". From Rfam's summary of the family: The signal recognition particle (SRP) is a universally conserved ribonucleoprotein. It is involved in the co-translational targeting of proteins to membranes. The eukaryotic SRP consists of a 300-nucleotide 7S RNA and six proteins: SRPs 72, 68, 54, 19, 14, and 9. The record is from Ensembl. NCBI's taxonomy places the organism in Eukaryota, Metazoa, Chordata, Mammalia, Didelphimorphia, Didelphidae.